This 495-nucleotide ribosomal RNA is filed under the name uncultured bacterium. RNAcentral's name for it is "partial 16S ribosomal RNA". It matches the Rfam family "Bacterial small subunit ribosomal RNA", at positions 28 to 507 of the family's 1533-position model. The record is from RNAcentral.
GACGAACGCUGGCGGCGUGCCUAAUACAUGCAAGUAGAACGCUGAAGGAGGAGCUUGCUUCUCUGGAUGAGUUGCGAACGGGUGAGUAACGCGUAGGUAACCUGCCUGGUAGCGGGGGAUAACUAUUGGAAACGAUAGCUAAUACCGCAUAAGAGUAGAUGUUGCAUGACAUUUGCUUAAAAGGUGCAAUUGCAUCACUACCAGAUGGACCUGCGUUGUAUUAGCUAGUUGGUGAGGUAACGGCUCACCAAGGCGACGAUACAUAGCCGACCUGAGAGGGUGAUCGGCCACACUGGGACUGAGACACGGCCCAGACUCCUACGGGAGGCAGCAGUAGGGAAUCUUCGGCAAUGGACGGAAGUCUGACCGAGCAACGCCGCGUGAGUGAAGAAGGUUUUCGGAUCGUAAAGCUCUGUUGUAAGAGAAGAACGGGUGUGAGAGUGGAAAGUUCACACUGUGACGGUAUCUUACCAGAAAGGGACGGCUAACUACGUG